UGGACCUACGGGGCGCAGCAGUGAGGAAUAUGGGUCAAUGGCCGCAGGGCUGAACCAGCCAAGUCGCGUGAGGGAUGACGGUCCUAUGGAUUGUAAACCUCUUUUGUCAGGGAGCAAAGGGCGCCACGUGUGGCGCUUUGCGAGUACCUGAAGAAAAAGCAUCGGCUAACUCCGUGCCAGCAGCCGCGGUAAUACGGAGGAUGCGAGCGUUAUCCGGAUUUAUUGGGUUUAAAGGGUGCGCAGGCGGUCUGUUAAGUCAGCGGUCAAAGCCCGGGGCUCAACCCCGGCCCGCCGUUGAAACUGGC
Molecule: ribosomal RNA, 305 nt
Filed under: uncultured bacterium
Lineage: Bacteria
Description: bacterial SSU rRNA
Rfam family: Bacterial small subunit ribosomal RNA
Source: RNAcentral